GCCGAAGUGGCGAAAUUGGUAAACGCAAUUGACUCAAAAUCAAUCACCGAUAGGUAUUUGCCGGUUCGAGUCCGGCCUUCGGUA
Molecule: transfer RNA, 84 nt
Filed under: Blochmannia endosymbiont of Camponotus (Colobopsis) obliquus
Lineage: Bacteria; Pseudomonadati; Pseudomonadota; Gammaproteobacteria; Enterobacterales; Enterobacteriaceae
Description: tRNA-Leu (CAA) (tRNA-Leu-CAA-1-1)
Rfam family: tRNA
About the family: Transfer RNA (tRNA) molecules are approximately 80 nucleotides in length. Their secondary structure includes four short double-helical elements and three loops (D, anti-codon, and T loops).
Source: Rfam by way of RNAcentral